GCAACAUGUUCUUUUUUCUACAGACCGACAGAGCCGUGCUUUAAUCUCCUCUCCUGUCUCAUGGCAGAAGCUUUUAUAACAGUUUUUGCUGUCAGACUACUUUAAGCAACUGCUCAUGAUAAGAGUUUCCAGGAAAACCAGUCUGUGACCAACCUGCAGAUCCAUGCACUUCAAACACGGGCAGCAGCCUGCUCCUCUGCGCAGAUGCUGUAGCAGGAGAAGACGAGACAGCCGGAGCACUACAAAGCGAGAGGAGGAGCCCGUCUGGGGUCCCUGACUGAAUGGUGGGGUAUUUUGUUGCGAGGCCAUCUCUACGUUGCCGUUCGGGAGGCUUCACAGAGUGACGAUGUGGCUCCACAAAGAAGCAAUAUGACUAAACAGCCCUGAUAUGCAAGCGCUUAUUAGGUAUAAUGGAUUCCCUCACAUCGUGUAAUUAUCCCAUUAGCUGAAUCUAGUAAAAUUGAAAAUUCC
RNAcentral lists this long non-coding RNA (471 nucleotides) under Chinchilla lanigera (long-tailed chinchilla). RNAcentral describes it as "lncRNA (ENSCLAG00000024757.1)". Lineage: Eukaryota; Metazoa; Chordata; Mammalia; Rodentia; Chinchillidae. The record is from RNAcentral.